Molecule: long non-coding RNA, 783 nt
Filed under: Brachypodium distachyon (stiff brome)
Lineage: Eukaryota; Viridiplantae; Streptophyta; Magnoliopsida; Poales; Poaceae
Description: long non-coding RNA (BDIS_LNC002348)
Source: RNAcentral
GCUCACUGCUCUAGAAUAUUAGUUUUCCAUUUUAUUCUAGCACACUCGUGUAAAGGAAUGGCAAUGAGAUGUGGAAUAUGUGAGGUUUUGUGGCCCAUGCCUAGCUGAUACAUGUACUAUUUGCUCGUAACUUGCUCAUAACAGUAUCCCUGUUAAAAAAAAAUACUCCCUCCAAUCCAUAAUAAGUAUCGGGAAUGAUCGGAGGGAGUACCAGAUAUACAAAUGCAUGACAUUUUACUGCAAACAUUUAAGGGAUAUGCAUUCAACAUUUAGAAAUGAAAAUACAUAAAUAAAACAUUAGAAAAAUACUUCGUCUGUUAGCUCACCCAUCACGUUAGGAGGACAGUCAAAUUAACAUGUUUUUUUUUUACCAAAAACAUGUUUAUUCUGGCAUAACUUCAACUUUCAAAACAGAACCAUCAUUAUAUUAAAAAAAAACUAUUCAGCACAUAACCAAACAAAAUUGUAGGCAGAUUUUCAAUAGCAAAAGUCACGAACCAUGAAACCCUGUCUUGGCAAAUAUUUUAUCAAUCUUUUGAAAAGAAAAAGAUAUAAGAAAUUCUCCCUAACUACAAGAAAAAUCAACGCAAGAAAAAAAACCACACCCAAGCACAAAAUGGAAAUCGAAUUAUACCAUAUGAAUCUUGUGAGGUUUCGGAUGAGCACAUCAACAUCGCUAGAGUUUGCCGGCAGCUUUUGGCUUCAGGGUGCGUUUUUUUUUGGCUUCUAUGACCGGCUUCUUCUAAAAGUUGCCCUCACCUAGCUUCCUAAAAAAGCCGCAUC